GACGAACGCUGGCGGCGUGCUUAACACAUGCAAGUCGAACGGAAAGGCCCUGCUUUUGUGGGGUGCUCGAGUGGCGAACGGGUGAGUAACACGUGAGUAACCUGCCCUUGACUUUGGGAUAACUUCAGGAAACUGGGGCUAAUACCGGAUAGGAGCUCCUGCUGCACGGGGGGGGUUGGAAAGAUUCGGCGGUUGGGGAUGGACUCGCGGCUUAUCAGCUUGUUGGUGGGGUAGUGGCUUACCAAGGCUUUGACGGGUAGCCGGCCUAGAGGGUGACCGGCGACAUUGGGACUGAGAUACGGACCAGACUCCUACGGGCGGCAGCAGUGGAGAAUAUUGCAGAAUGGGCGGACGCCUGAUGCAGCAACGCCGCGUGCGGGAUGACGGCCUUCGGGUUGUAAACCGAUUUGGCCUGUGACGAAGCGUGAGUGACGGUAAUGGGUAAAGAAGCACCGGCUAACUACGUG
RNAcentral lists this ribosomal RNA (467 nucleotides) under uncultured bacterium. RNAcentral's name for it is "partial 16S ribosomal RNA". It matches the Rfam family "Bacterial small subunit ribosomal RNA", at positions 28 to 507 of the family's 1533-position model. The record is from RNAcentral.